UGAUUGGUGUCUUUCGCACUGCAGGCUGAGU
RNAcentral lists this non-coding RNA (31 nucleotides) under Rattus norvegicus (Norway rat). Lineage: Eukaryota; Metazoa; Chordata; Mammalia; Rodentia; Muridae. The record is from RNAcentral.